RNAcentral lists this ribosomal RNA (460 nucleotides) under uncultured bacterium. Its description in RNAcentral is "partial 16S ribosomal RNA". It matches the Rfam family "Bacterial small subunit ribosomal RNA", at positions 338 to 795 of the family's 1533-position model. The record is from RNAcentral.
CCUACGGGUGGCUGCAGUGAGGAAUAUUGGUCAAUGGGCGCGAGCCUGAACCAGCCAAGUAGCGUGAAGGAUGACUGCCCUACGGGUUGUAAACUUCUUUUAUAAAGGAAUAAAGUGAGGCACGUGUGCCUUUUUGUAUGUACUUUAUGAAUAAGGAUCGGCUAACUCCGUGCCAGCAGCCGCGGUAAUACUGAGGAUCCGAGCGUUAUCCGGAUUUAUUGGGUUUAAGGGGAGCGUAGAUGGGUUGUUAAGUCAGUUGUGAAAGUUUGCGGCUCAACCGUAAAAUUGCAAUUGAUACUGGCAGUCUUGAGUACAGGUGAGGGAGGCGGAAUUCGUGGUGUAGCGGUGAAAUGCUUAGAUAUCACGAAGAACACCGAUUGCGAAGGCAGGUUCCUAAACUGUCACUGACAUUGAUGCACGAAAGUGUGGGUAGCAAACAGGAUUAGAUACCCGUGUAGUC